This 1760-nucleotide unclassified non-coding RNA is filed under the name Haliotis rubra (blacklip abalone). Its description in RNAcentral is "uncharacterized LOC124291320, transcript variant X2". Lineage: Eukaryota; Metazoa; Mollusca; Gastropoda; Lepetellida; Haliotidae. The record is from RNAcentral.
UUUCCUACAGUGGUGGUAUCUGCUGUGCGCUGUGAACUUGGCGAGGAGUUAGGUAUGUAGGUCAGCAUCUUUCAAGCUGGCAAGGAGCGCGGAGAAAACAGAGAGUUGAAUCAACAAGAACUUGUAAUGGCCUCCAGAGAUCCUGAUUAUAACCCAGCUAUGGAAGAAGAAGUACCCUCCCCUGAUCAACAGACACCGAGUAUCAAGACACCCAAAACAAAGAGGAAGAAAUCCGAGGACGGCGGCCCACGGACGCCCUCUGUUCGACAGCCUGCCACUUAUGCCGCCGUCCACAUUGAAAACCUGGUCAAACCAAAGACAGAGUGUCUUAUCCGUGCAAUCGACCGCGCCCACGUUGAGAACAUUAAGCGAGAAAUGAGGGAGAAGCAGGUGACGAAGUUCACGCUCAUUGUUGCCAACGUCUCCACGCCUGACAUGCCCCCCAUCAAGGAUCUUCAGAAAGCAAGGUCCUGCCGCCUGGAGGUUCUGGGUGGGAACCACACCCGUCAGGCUGCCAUGGAGUUGUGGGUAGAGACAGAGGACAAGAGGUAUGCCCUAUGGCCGUGCCAGUUGUACCAUCAGCUGACGGAGGAAGAGUCCAAGGCCCUGGCCUAUCUCCACAACAGGAACCACGAAGUGGCCAAACAGAUGACCUUCCUGGACUAUGUCCGGCUGUUUCGGACAGAGAGAGUGGCCUGUCAGAAGGCUGGAGCAUCUCCAGAGACUCUUGAGUUUGAAUGGAAGGAGAAACUUUGCCAUAUGAUGUCACUGACGAAGCGCAUCCUGUCUGCCAACUACAUGGCCGCACUCCGGGUGUCCUCCGUCAACGACACAGUCUGGCCACACUUGGCCUCGCUGUUCACUGCCUGGGACAAAGGUCAUGUCAAAGGUCAGAAAAAGGGACCAAUGAAAGCCUACUUCUUGGCUAACGCCCACUUCCUUGAUGACCGAGAGCUGAUCACGUGUAUCAAGGACAUGUUGAAAGGAGCUCUCUCGCCUCGGAGCUUUCAGAAACGAUGUGCAGAGGCUGGCGCGAAGUUUAGGCGACAUCUGAAGAGACAGAGAUCAAAGGACCAAUACAGUGACGCAGAGAGCGACAAUGGCGUGUCCAUCCGCUCCAGGUCAACGUCAAACGAGGACAGUGAAGAAGACAGCGACAGCUUCAACUGUGAUAGCCAGAGACAAAACAAGGUGAAGGUUAUGUCAAAGAACAGCCACCACUCAAAGAGGCGCCGAACAGAUAAGAAAGAACCGGAUGUGCUGUUUGGCCAGCAGACUGAAUCUUUGACCAACCAACUCACACAACAGAAGGACACCAACAAAGAGCUCCAGGCGCGAUUAACGGAACAGGAUGACGAACUUGUGAACCUGAGAGCUGACAAUGCAAUCUUGGAACAAAAGGAAGCGAACCACCAGGAGGAAAUAGCGCACCUCAAAACAAAAAUAGCGAAGCUGGAGAAAAAGGAGAGGGAUACGAGUGACGAAUUACUCAAAGCCAAAGCGUGUCUCUCAUUGUGUAGAAAGGCGGAGACGGAGCUACGUGAGAAGGUGAAACAGAUGGAAUCAUCGCUCCCAUCCAGAAGUCAUACAAGAAGCUCAAGGUGAACGACAUUGUUGAGGCCCAGUGGGAAGACGGCCUGUGGUAUCCAGCGUGUGUGGUGCAAGUUCUCAAGCAUGAUGCUUACCGUGUGAAGUUCCUGGAGGAUAAUAUUGUGUGCGAUGUACAGACAAGGUCAAUAAAACCAUUAUUAUGAUAUGAA